UCUGCCUGUCCUGCAACUUGCUAUACAGAGCAGGCUGGCCUUAAAUGCACAACACUUUUCCAUUUUAUCGAUGGGAAGACAAAAGAAAAUAGAAAAGCUCUCAAAACCUCAGGAGGUGGACUUGUGAAUAUGUUUAAGAAUCAUUAAAUUGACCUACAGAGAGGGUCUUAGCUCACCUAAGAUCACAUAUUAAUUAAGAGGACACGCCAACACCAGGACCCAGAUCCCAGCCUGGACUGCGUCAUCAUGAGACAGGCCCACACCAUACAGCCCCUGCCCCCGGGAACAUCUGACUACUGAGACAGAUGUGGCCGGGAUCCGGUGUCAGCCGGUGGUUUCCCAGUACCAUCUUCCAGAUACUGGACUGCUCUGCCUCCCAGGAUGAUAGCUGGAAUCUGAAAAUGGAGAAUAUUUCCAGAUCUGAGUGGCCGCAGGGCCAACACUAGACAUCUUGGUUUUGUGACCUUAGCCCCACCCACUAAGCCUCUGCCCCGCCUGAUUGCAGAAAUGGACUUGAAGCAAAGACUUGUUGCAAAAGA
This is a long non-coding RNA of Mus musculus (house mouse), 539 nucleotides long. RefSeq annotates it as predicted gene, 54270. The record is from RefSeq and is a predicted model, not a curated record. Lineage: Eukaryota; Metazoa; Chordata; Mammalia; Rodentia; Muridae. The transcript has 3 exons.